CUGCUCCAGGAGUCCCAACUGAAGCUGCGGAGAGUGGGUCCCUACGGCAGGAACGGACUGGGCGUUUCCGUUGUCUGCGUCUCGCUGCAGGAGCCAUAUAUUGAAAACAAUGUCUGGAAGCUUCUACUUUGUAAUUGUUGGCCACCAUGAUAAUCCAGUUUUUGAAAUGGAGUUUUUGCCAGCUGGGAAAGCUGAAUCCAAAGAUGACCACCGUCAUCUGAACCAGUUCAUAGCUCAUGCUGCUCUUGACCUGGUAGAUGAGAACAUGUGGCUGUCGAACAACAUGUACUUAAAAACUGUGGACAAGUUCAACGAGUGGUUUGUGUCAGCAUUUGUCACUGCAGGGCAUAUCCUUAUUUGUCGUAAAUACCUAACUAAAGCUCGAGUUAACAAACCAGAACAUGGAACAUAGACACCAGGCACUGAGUGAAUAGACUUCAGAGUCAGUAAAAAUGCAAAAAUUUCUAUUGAUUGGGGCUACCUUUAUUAUUAUUUUUUUUUUUAGAGAAAAGAUAUUUUGUUUGCAGCUAAUUCUAAAGCUAAAUCUCAUACAUCAAACUAAGGUUUUUCUGAACCAUAUCAGAGGUAAUUUUACUUUAUUUUAUAGUUGUUUAAAGAUUAUGUUUUCUAGGGCAGCGCCUGUGGCUCGGCAAGUAGGGCACCAGCCCCAUAUGCCGAGGGUGGUGGGUUCGAACCUGACUCCGGCCAAACUGCAACAAAAAUUAGCCAGGUGUUGUGGUGAGUGCCUGUAGUCCCAGCUACUCAGGAAGCUGAGGCAAGAGAAUCACCUAAGCCCAAGAGCUGGAGGUUGCUGUGAGCUGCGACUCAAUGGCACUCUACCGAGGGUGACAAAAUGAGACUCUGUCUCUAAAAAAAAAAAAAAAAGAUUAUGUUUUCUAAAAUAAAACUAACUUUAAAUCCAGUUUAUGUAUUCAACUUUUCCAUUGCAACAUAUACUGCAUGUGACUAAUUUGGAGAAUAUUACAUCGACUGAUUGCUUUCUGUUUUUC
Long non-coding RNA from Nycticebus coucang (slow loris), 1010 nucleotides. RefSeq lists it as uncharacterized. The record is from RefSeq and is a predicted model, not a curated record. The transcript is spliced from 3 exons. NCBI's taxonomy places the organism in Eukaryota, Metazoa, Chordata, Mammalia, Primates, Lorisidae.